GAAAGUGAUCUGAUUAGUGUUGGGUUUGUGGUCUCCAAGCACCAAGAUCUCAGCACUUGGGCACGCUGUCCGGGACGUGGAGUAGGGGCAGAGAUUUUUGGUCCUUCCCAGGGAUUCAUUUGCUUCCGACAAAGGAUGACAACGCGACAAAUACCACUGUGAGGUUCAAGCUCCUUCGAUGAAGUGAUUUUUCGCGGAGAGAUGGCUUUUGCUAUGGAAAAGACUAUGGACACAUUUCACAGUGAUCACUCUUUCUCUCUCCAAGCCAGAGCCAAAAGGGGCUCUCUCUCUCAGACCCGUAUCACGAGACACUGGUGGAGUUCCUGUAGUGAGAGCCUAUGAAGCAUGAGGGCAUGCCCUUAAGAUGGCGGCCCCCAGAAAUUUCUCACUCUCAUUCUGGCCCACACUCGGCUUCCAGCAAUUUUUCAAAAUUACCGUUUCAGUGUUUUUGCAGCUUAUGGAUUUCAGUGGCUUUUUCUCCAGUGGUGCUCUGGAAGCAGGUGAUCUUUCUUCUGAUGAAGCAUCAGACGCUCAACAGAAGCCUAACGUUGCGUCGCAAAAUCCUCACUGCGUCUCAUCACGUAGGCGUUUUAUCAUCUCCCGUCAUCACAGGAAGAAGGGUGAGUACAUUACAAUGAGAUAUUUGUAACUUUCAACACAGUGUAUUGUUAUAAUCGUUCUAUUUUGUUGUUGUUGUUAAUCUCUUCCUGUGACCAAUUUAUAAAUUAAACUUUACCAUAGGUAUGCGUGUAUAGUAAAAAACAUAGUCUAUGUAGGGUUCCGUACUGUGUGCUGUCUCAGGCAUCCACUGGCGCUUGGGGGAGUCUUGGAACAGAUACCCUGUGAAUAAGGGGAGACUAUGUGCAUUUUUCCCAUCUCUCCUUUCAAUGUUACCGUGUCAAGUGGCUUGAAGUAGGCCAUUGGUACGAGUAUUGUCACCACGGAAAUCAGCAAAUGCUACAUCUUGUGGCUUAAAAAAAAAAAAAAGAACUGUGUUUUUCAGCACAUCACUGGGUUGUAUAAAGUUGUAAAGCUGUUUAUUGAAAAAAAAGAACUGUGUUUUUCAGCACAUCACUGGGUUGUAUAAAGUUGUAAAGCUGUUUAUUGAAUUGUUCACUUAAGAUUUCUGAUCUUGAAUAUACACUGUUUACCAACUCAAAAAUUUCAAAAUGUCCUAAAUUCUUUCCACCUUACAUGGACAAAUGAUAUCUCUGCUUUCAGUUCUUACAUAGUUUAUUUUGGGCCAAAUAUCAGGUUUAUAUUCAAACCAGGAUUGUGCUUUGUUCAAGUACAAGAAGUAUGAGGCUCGUUUUAGAUUACCUUUUCCUCCUCUUUAUACAUAACUGCACACAUACCAGACUUUCGGGUUCUUUCGGGUUG
Molecule: long non-coding RNA, 1380 nt
Organism: Felis catus (domestic cat)
Lineage: Eukaryota; Metazoa; Chordata; Mammalia; Carnivora; Felidae
Exons: 3
Source: RefSeq, a predicted model, not a curated record